This 425-nucleotide ribosomal RNA is filed under the name uncultured bacterium. RNAcentral describes it as "partial 16S ribosomal RNA". It matches the Rfam family "Bacterial small subunit ribosomal RNA", at positions 354 to 796 of the family's 1533-position model. The record is from RNAcentral.
GUGGGGAAUCUUGCGCAAUGGGCGAAAGCCUGACGCAGCCAUGCCGCGUGAAUGAUGAAGGUCUUAGGAUUGUAAAAUUCUUUCACCGGGGACGAUAAUGACGGUACCCGGAGAAGAAGCUCCGGCUAACUUCGUGCCAGCAGCCGCGGUAAUACGAAGGGGGCUAGCGUUGCUCGGAAUUACUGGGCGUAAAGGGCGCGUAGGCGGACAGCUUAGUCAGAGGUGAAGGCCCAGGGCUCAACCUUGGAAUUGCCUUUGAUACUGGCUGUCUUGAGUUUGGGAGAGGUGGGUGGAACUCCGAGUGUAGAGGUGAAAUUCGUAGAUAUUCGGAAGAACACCAGUGGCGAAGGCGACUCACUGGCCCGUUACUGACGCUGAGGCGCGAAAGCGUGGGGAGCAAACAGGAUUAGAUACCCGAGUAGUCC